RNAcentral lists this ribosomal RNA (433 nucleotides) under uncultured bacterium. RNAcentral describes it as "partial 16S ribosomal RNA". It matches the Rfam family "Bacterial small subunit ribosomal RNA", at positions 29 to 507 of the family's 1533-position model. The record is from RNAcentral.
AACGAACGCUGGCGGCAUGCCUAACACAUGCAAGUCGAACGAGACCUUCGGGUCUAGUGGCGCACGGGUGCGUAACGCGUGGGAACCUGCCCUUAGGUUCGGAAUAACUCCCCGAAAGGGGUGCUAAUACCGGAUAAUGUCUUCGGACCAAAGAUUUAUCGCCUUUGGAUGGGCCCGCGUUGGAUUAGCUAGUUGGUAGGGUAAAAGCCUACCAAGGCGACGAUCCAUAGCUGGUCGGAGAGGAUGAUCAGCCACACUGGGACUGAGACACGGCCCAGACUCCUACGGGAGGGAGCAGUGGGGAAUAUUGGACGAUGGGCGAAAGCCUGAUCCAGCCAUGCCGCGUGAGUGAUGAAGGCCUUAGGGUUGUAAAGCUCUUUUACCCGGGAUGAUAAUGACAGUACCGGGAGAAUAAGCUCCGGCUAACUCCGUG